CAGUAGCCACGGUAAUACGUAGGUGGCAAGCGUUGUCCGGAUUUAUUGGGCGUAAAGCGAGCGCAGGCGGUUUCUUAAGUCUGAUGUGAAAGCCCCCGGCUCAACCGGGGAGGGUCAUUGGAAACUGGGAAACUUGAGUGCAGAAGAGGAGAGUGGAAUUCCAUGUGUAGCGGUGAAAUGCGUAGAUAUAUGGAGGAACACCAGUGGCGAAGGCGGCUCUCUGGUCUGUAACUGACGCUGAGGCUCGAAAGCGUGGGGAGCAAACAGGAUUAGAUACCCCCGUAGUCCCUGUCUCUUAUAA
Molecule: ribosomal RNA, 301 nt
Filed under: uncultured bacterium
Lineage: Bacteria
Description: partial 16S ribosomal RNA
Rfam family: Bacterial small subunit ribosomal RNA
Source: RNAcentral